This 497-nucleotide ribosomal RNA is filed under the name uncultured bacterium. RNAcentral's name for it is "partial 16S ribosomal RNA". It matches the Rfam family "Bacterial small subunit ribosomal RNA", at positions 28 to 507 of the family's 1533-position model. The record is from RNAcentral.
GAUGAACGCUGGCGGCGUGCCUAAUACAUGCAAGUCGAGCGAACGGACGAGAAGCUUGCUUCUCUGAUGUUAGCGGCGGACGGGUGAGUAACACGUGGAUAACCUACCUAUAAGACUGGGAUAACUUCGUGAAACCGGAGCUAAUAACGGAUAAUAUUUUGAACCGCAUGGUUCAAAAGUGAUAGACGGUCUUGCCGUCACUUAUAGCUGGAUCCGCGCUGCAUUAGCUAGUUGGUAAGGUAACGGCUUACCAAGGCAACGAUGCGUAGCCGACCUGAGAGGGUGAUCGGCCACACUGGAACUGAGACACGGUCCAGACUCCUACGGGAGGCAGCAGUAGGGAAUCUUCCGCAAUGGGCGCAAGCCUGACGGAGCAACGCCGCGUGAGUGAUGAAGGUCUUCGGAUCGUAAAACUCUGUUAUUAGGGAAGAACAUAUGUGUAAGUAACUGUGCACAUCUUGACGGUACCUAAUCAGAAAGCCACGGCUAACUACGUG